This 59-nucleotide transfer RNA is filed under the name Streptosyllis sp. THS1. RNAcentral describes it as "tRNA-Glu". Lineage: Eukaryota; Metazoa; Annelida; Polychaeta; Phyllodocida; Syllidae. The record is from RNAcentral.
CCAUUUGUAGUAUAAAAAAUACAUUUACUUUUCACGUAGAAGAUUGUUUAAUAGAUGGU